GAUGAAUAACGCAGUGAAAUGCGAUAAGUAAUGCGAAUUGCAGAAUCCGUGAGUCAUCGAAUCUUUGAACGCACAUUGCGCCCUCUGGUAUUCCGGAGGGCAUGCCUGUUCGAGCGUCAUUAUCACCCCUCAAGCCCGGCUUGUUGUUGGAUGCAGCGCUUAUCCCGCUCCUCCCAAAGAUAAUGACGGCGUCUGCGACGACUCCUGUACACUGAGCUUUCGGGCACGUACACGGCUAGAAGUCCAGACCCGGUCGCCGUCCCCCCCGCGGGGACACCCAUUACCACAAGGUUGACCUCGGAUCAGGUAGGAAUACCCGCUGAACUUAAGCAUAUCAAUAAGCGGAGGA
This 349-nucleotide unclassified non-coding RNA is filed under the name soil metagenome. Its description in RNAcentral is "partial contains 5.8S ribosomal RNA, internal transcribed spacer 2, and large subunit ribosomal RNA". The stretch from base 1 to 119 matches the Rfam family "5.8S ribosomal RNA", at positions 35 to 154 of the family's 154-position model. The record is from RNAcentral.